AUCAUCUUGGUUUUGAAGUUUGCAGAAACAUAUGUUCAAAUGGGAGGGCUGCAGGCAGUGCAAACAGGACCCAAAGACAUAUCCCAAGCCAGACUGCACAUCGCUACCACACUGUAUCAACAUCGAGGUGAAAGAACAAUUACAAAGAAGUCUUGUUUUCCAGUUUGCUGGCUGAAUGUUCAGAGAUUUAUAGCUUUGGACAGCUAUGAUUCUAAGAAUUUUUUGGUCAGAACACAUGAAAUUUUAUUAAUGUUGGGUAUUAAGAACCAGUUCCACUGUUCUGGGAACUGUGGAAGUCUGUGUGAAACCUGUUGAUCUGUUUUGUUAAUAUUCUAACAAUCAAAAACACAAGAUGGCUUAGGAGCAUAUCAACAAAUUUUUCAUUCCAAACGGAACAAAUUUUCCCUUAGGCUAUACCGGAACAGUCCAAAGCAUUAAAAAAAUCCAAAGAUAUAUGACAUACUAAAUUGCAGUAUUUUCUGUUAUGUACUAGUAUAACAUGAUGGCUUGUCAACAGAAUAUAAAGAGGUAGUACUUGACUAUUUUUGGUAAAGUACACUCUAAAUGCCUUUAUUUGUUCCCAGACAAGGUGGAAGAGUACUGUGUGGAAUGCAAUAUGCUUCACUGUAAUGCUUCAGAGAACAUCAUUGACAUGAUACAGUGUGACUGCUGCUCAAGGUGGACACACAAAGAAUGUGCCACAGACAUGGGUGACAUGUUCAAAUGUAAAAAGUGUAACUUAAAUUAAACAGUUUUACCCCACCAGUGACAGUGUGGAUUAUUAAAAAUACAGAAGUAAAAUGUUCUACAUUAAAUAUAGUACAUCAUACAACUGAUGUCAUUGGUAUUAAUCAGGAAGUCAUACAGUGGCUAAUAACAAAGUGUAUGGCAAUCAGACAGGUUAAGGGAUGCAUCAGGAAGUCAUAC
Cyprinodon tularosa is the source of this 927-nucleotide long non-coding RNA. RefSeq lists it as uncharacterized. The record is from RefSeq and is a predicted model, not a curated record. The transcript is spliced from 3 exons. NCBI's taxonomy places the organism in Eukaryota, Metazoa, Chordata, Actinopteri, Cyprinodontiformes, Cyprinodontidae.